This 1293-nucleotide long non-coding RNA is filed under the name Cyanistes caeruleus (blue tit). RNAcentral describes it as "lncRNA (ENSCCEG00000002685.1)". The record is from RNAcentral. Lineage: Eukaryota; Metazoa; Chordata; Aves; Passeriformes; Paridae.
GCCCCCGGCGGGCGGGCGGUCGGUCAGGCCCGGCACACAGCAGCGGCCUGCCCGGGGCAAUCCGCAGCGCGGCUCAGCCAGCCCGGCACACAGACCCGAAGGAUGGCUCUGGAGCCCCGAGCGCUGCUCACAUUCAGCUUGCCAGUGGCACACAGAGUUUACUCAGCCCUCCUCCUGGCUGGAGUCACUUCGACCAUGAAGUAUUUUUCCCGGUACCAUCGCUCAGAGUGAUGACAAAUCCAAAGGGUUUUUUGAAGGCCAUUUUUGUGUGGUUUUGCAUAAUGAAUGGCAGUUUCACUGAGCAGAGAAAUACUUUUGGAUUCCUGUUAGAAAUUCAUUCAGAGCAGCAGAAAGCCAUCAGAGAGACUGAAUGCACAGGAAGAGAUGAAACCUGCAAUGCUGCCCACUUCCUUCUUCCCCCUGCUUGGUGCCUCCUGCCAAUAAAUAAAAACCCAUAUGCAUGUGGGUUGUGAUAGACACAGGUUCUUGUCCUCCUGCUGCCUGCUUCAGCACAGGGAGUUGAUGUGAGAUCUCCCACUCUCCAUGAGAGUGUUCUACCUGCUAGACUUGGAGGUAUGCAGAGGAGGAGCUGCUCUUCUAAACCUUUUUUGCUCUAAACUGCUUACACAUUGCCUGAGGGGAAAAAAAGCUGUGGCAGAUAGUGAUGAAGAAAGAUGCUGAGCAAGUCAACACAUUGAACAACUACAAAAAUGCUGAAUUAUCUAUGCAAAGGACAAUAUCUUCAUCUCAGGGAGUUAAGACAAUCAGCCUGUAAAACCUUGUGGUGCAGUAUCAAGGCCAAAUCCUAGGAAACAGAGGGGAGAUGCUUAGACAAACAUCAUAAAUACUGAGACAUCUAUGGGAUCCCUGCCUCUCACUAGCUUAAUAGUUGUAAUCUUUUGAGUUUAUUAAGUGUGCCUAGAAGUUAAUUGAAAGUAUUUAUUUAGUGAGCAAAAUUAACUGUUUCAGUACUAUGGAAAAACUGAGUGAAUAUUGAUUGAUUUAAUUUGAUUUUUAAACUACAAUUUAUAUCAGGAAGGAGGAAAAGGGAAGAAAAACUAGCAAAGUGAGCGGAUCCAAUGGACCAAAGCAAUUUGGGAUUUACCAUGGCUAAUAUUAUAUGCAUAAGUACUUCUUUUGCAGAAGAAAGAUUCUGCUGCAGAAACUAUUUUAAUAGACUUCAGUAUAUGUUGGAUAGGGGAAAUCUUUGAUCAGUUCAGGAAGAAGGCAGGGUGUUUAUUUUCUUUAAUCUCACUCAACAGCAACAAAUAAAGUAAGACUGAUAAUAGUCCA